AGAGUUUGAUCCUGGCUCAGGACGAACGCUGGCGGCACGCUUAACACAUGCAAGUCGAACGAGAGAAGAGGAGCUUGCUUUUCUGAUCUAGUGGCGGACGGGUGAGUAACACGUGAGCAAUCUGCCUUUCAGAGGGGGAUACCGAUUGGAAACGAUCGUUAAUACCGCAUAACAUAAUUGAACCGCAUGAUUUGAUUAUCAAAGAUUUAUCGCUGAAAGAUGAGCUCGCGUCUGAUUAGCUAGUUGGUAAGGUAACGGCUUACCAAGGCGACGAUCAGUAGCCGGACUGAGAGGUUGAUCGGCCACAUUGGGACUGAGACACGGUCCAGACUCCUACGGGAGGCAGCAGUGGGGAAUAUUGCACAAUGGAGGAAACUCUGAUGCAGCGAUGCCGCGUGAGGGAAGAAGGUUUUAGGAUUGUAAACCUCUGUCUUCAGGGACGAAAAAAGACGGUACCUGAGGAGGAAGCUCCGGCUAACUACGUGCCAGCAGCCGCGGUAAUACGUAGGGAGCGAGCGUUGUCCGGAAUUACUGGGUGUAAAGGGAGCGUAGGCGGGAUCGCAAGUCAGAUGUGAAAACUAUGGGCUUAACCCAUAAACUGCAUUUGAAACUGUGGUUCUUGAGUGAAGUAGAGGUAAGCGGAAUUCCUAGUGUAGCGGUGAAAUGCGUAGAUAUUAGGAGGAACAUCAGUGGCGAAGGCGGCUUACUGGGCUUUAACUGACGCUGAGGCUCGAAAGCGUGGGGAGCAAACAGGAUUAGAUACCCUGGUAGUCCACGCCGUAAACGAUGAUUACUAGGUGUGGGGGGACUGACCCCUUCCGUGCCGCAGCAAACGCAAUAAGUAAUCCACCUGGGGAGUACGACCGCAAGGUUGAAACUCAAAGGAAUUGACGGGGGCCCGCACAAGCAGUGGAGUAUGUGGAUUAAUUCGAAGCAACGCGAAGAACCUUACCAGGUCUUGACAUCGUAUGCAUAGCUCAGAGAUGAGUGAAAUCUCUUCGGAGACAUAUAGACAGGUGGUGCAUGGUUGUCGUCAGCUCGUGUCGUGAGAUGUUGGGUUAAGUCCCGCAACGAGCGCAACCCUUACUGUUAGUUGCUACGCAAGAGCACUCUAGCAGGACUGCCGUUGACAAAACGGAGGAAGGUGGGGAUGACGUCAAAUCAUCAUGCCCCUUAUGACCUGGGCCUCACACGUACUACAAUGGCUGUCAACAGAGGGAAGCAAAGCCGCGAGGUGGAGCGAACCCCUAAAAGCAGUCUUAGUUCGGAUUGUAGGCUGCAACCCGCCUACAUGAAGUCGGAAUUGCUAGUAAUCGCAGAUCAGCAUGCUGCGGUGAAUACGUUCCCGGGCCUUGUACACACCGCCCGUCACGCCAUGGGAGUCGGUAACACCCGAAGCCUGUAGUCUAACCGCAAGGAGGACGCAGUCGAAGGUGGGAUUGAUGACUGGGGUGAAGUCGUAACAAGGUA
This 1470-nucleotide ribosomal RNA is filed under the name metagenome. RNAcentral describes it as "bacterial SSU rRNA". It matches the Rfam family "Bacterial small subunit ribosomal RNA". The record is from RNAcentral.